RNAcentral lists this long non-coding RNA (2667 nucleotides) under Pan troglodytes (chimpanzee). RNAcentral describes it as "long non-coding RNA NONPTRT017342". The record is from RNAcentral. Lineage: Eukaryota; Metazoa; Chordata; Mammalia; Primates; Hominidae.
GGGCCCACAGCAGGCCAGGCACAACCCUGCCACUCCCCAGGGAAGGAGAUGACUUUUAUCAUCAGUACAUGUCACAAGAAAACAUUUAAAAUGACACUGAAACAAUCAUUGAAAUCAUGGUGCAUGGAGGAAAAAGGUAAAGAAAACAACUUUUGGCUUGUUUUGGCAUGAGACCUUGAUACAAUUUGGGUUCCCCAAAACCAUGUGAAGGGUGGUAAAAUAGAAAUGCUCAAAACUGACUUAAAAAAAUAAACAGGCUUUACAAAAACCCUCUUUUUUCUUAACCCAGCCACUUCUCGACAUGGUCUGCACAUACAGUAGAUACAUUCAUUAUUGUCCAAGGGAAGACAGUAACUGCCUUUCAUUUUAAAGAGCUUGGUGGAGAGGCUGAAGAAAUGUGCUGCAGCUGAAGGUGAGUAGAAUGUUCCAGAGAACACAAAAGUCUAGAUGGUCUUCAGGAACAGCACUGAGCAUGAUGUGGGGAGGGUCUCUGGGAAGAGAGGUGGAGGUGGAGGAGGGUGCGGAGUCCAGAUCUGAAGCCAUGGAGACUGAGGAUGGAGUUGGGUUGUCAGUGGUGAACGUGGGGGCAGGGAUCUCUCCGCCUGAGCAGUCCUGGGUUUGUCCUCAGCCUGGGAAAGUUGCUCUUUCAGCAAGAGGCGAACCCUGGGCUUUGGAGACGGGGCUGGGGCUCUUUUCAGGCAUAGCAGCAGUGGGGAGACUGGGGACAGGCUUGCAAUGGAUUCCACGGGAGGGGCUUCUCUCCUGGUUCUGACUGCUUAUUAGGUGGUUAUUAAGGCAAUAAGGACUUAAGCAAACUAGAAGUUAAGGGCAGCUAAGUUCAGCCAGAUCAAAGGUAAACAAAAGGUGAGAAGGAGUCCCUUUCUCCUCAGCUACCUUUCCCCCAAGCACAGGAGGCCUCAGCUCCUGAAGCUCUGAAUUUACAGUACACAGUAGCAGACGGCUUGCCCUUUGGAAGGCUCCAUGGAAAGAAGGCUCAUCCCUGACUUGGGGCAACUUGACCGAAGUUUCUACUCUCCAGAAUCUCUUUUCUGUGGUCACCCAACUGGCAAGUGGAAGAUGGAAGCACCAAGGUUCCUGCAAAAGAUAGAUCAAGACCUUUGCUAUCAACCUUUCAGCCCAUCCCAAUGGCCUUGAAUGGCAUGUGUCCUGGAAAACCAGGUCUGCUGCCUGUACACCCGAGCGAGACCUAUGCUCAGCUGGAGAAGAGGACAGCCUUUCAGGGUUCAUGAAUGUUCUCCCUAGAACAGAUGGAAUGGCAGCUACAAUGCCCUUGGGAAUGUGAGGUCCUGGUGGAGUCUCUGGGGAAGUGAAAGAAGCUCCUUUAACUUGACUCCACUCACAGGACAAAGUGCAGGAGACAGAACAGAAUGGAUAGAAGCUUCUCCUUUCUUCUUGCUCUAGAGUGAAGGAGAUGGACAGUUACCUUGAAAUGCUAUGGGAAGGAUGAGCAUGGAGAGCUGCCUGUUAUUCUGAGCCAACUUCUGGCAAGAUGCUGGGUGAAUUGACUGCCUGGAAUUGAAGAACUGGCUCUCAAGCAGUUGCUGCUAAAGAAUGCCAGCAAACAAACCACACACAACGGUGGUAAGCCAGGCGGAAAUCCCUCCACCCUCUGGCAUGAGAUGGCAGUCUAGAAAGGACUCUCCAUGAGAUGCCUGGGGCCUGAGGAGGCAGAGGCAUGGACACACUGUUCUACGAUGACUCAGGGCCACCCAUGAGUGGGACAUUCGUGGGGAUGAGAUGGGAGAAGGGAGAAGCAGCAGUUGUAAUGGCCAGCCAUGUGGGGACCAGUUCCCUGCCUGGCCUUUCUUUCUCUGGUGGAAGCCAUCUUGUUUUGAUCCUAAGAAAAAUGGGUGUCAUUUUAUCCAGGAAUCUAAGAAUUAUAAUAAUAAAUUAAUAAAGUGAAUGUGAUAAUCAAACUAUGAGGAUACGAACAACAUAAGAUUUAAUGAUCAUUGUCAAAACCAGUCGGUAGGGCUGUGGAACUUUAUCGUACAAUUCGACUUUGAUAUGUGUUGAAAUAUAUUUUCUAAGUUAUCCACAACCCAAAACAGGACCCCUUAGAGGUAAUCUAGAGGAAUCCCUCACGUUACAGACAGAGCCACUGGUUAAGGGUCUAGAGACACACAGGGAGUUACUGCAGAAUCAGUACUGGAACCCUGUGCUCUUUCUGCAGGGAUUCGGAUAUUUUGGUUGGAUUUGCAUUCUUACAUCAAUGUAUGUUCUCCAACUCUGCUCUUACAUAUUGAAAGGCAGGCAGCCAUUUUUAAACACCCUGCCUAUUAGCCUUAGGAACAUAAUAAUAAUGGCAAGCACCCUUUAUUGCUUCGCUGAGCUGCAGACACCCUUCUAGGGUGUGAACAGAGCUCAGUAAAGAUAGCAGCCUCAGGUCUGUGUGUUGCUUUGAGCCACGAGCUGGUCUGCAGGCAGCAGCCAUGGGCCGUGCCUGUGUUGGUAUGUUUAAGAACAUUGGGGAAUACAGGAAUUACAUGGACUAGGUUUAGAAAACAAAUAGUAACAUACAAAAAGGAAGGUUUGAUAUGGACUGCAAGGACAUAGAGCAGGUGCACAUGCGUGCACUACCAGAAUAGCUACACGGUGGGAAGGAAUUCCAGAACCACGUGAGAAAGAGUUGUUAGGACAAUGCAG